GUCUUCUCAUUCCACAACCUGAAGCGGCAUAACAGAAGACAAAGAGCUCAUGCCUACCUGGACCCAAUGGGUUGUCAGCCUGACCCUAAUGCUCUUGAUACAUGGCCCAAGUUGCGAUGUGAGGUGUCUGGCCUUAGCCAUUUCUUCUCAACCCAAGUAUGCUCACUGGAUUGGGCUUGGUCCAUCUAGUAAGCUCGGCCCAUCUCCUUGUUUGGCGCACAUCUAUAGGGUUCAAUGGGCUUGGACCAUGCAGGGAGCUCAGCCAAGUCCAGGCCAUGCCCCGGUCAUAUUAACUCCCUUCUUCAAUUAUAUACCUCUGGAUUUUAUAGUAUGAGGGGGUCAGAAAUUUCCUUUAUACAGUCGAGUAGUAGAAGCUGUUCCACCUAAAGCUAUUGUGAUUCCUGCAUCUGGAAAGGACGUGGAUGUUCAACUGAGGAAACAGGACUUAUCAUGGAAACAUUUUCUUUCCAGUGUUGAUCACCACCCUAGGUAA
Molecule: long non-coding RNA, 493 nt
Organism: Camellia sinensis
Lineage: Eukaryota; Viridiplantae; Streptophyta; Magnoliopsida; Ericales; Theaceae
Source: RefSeq, a predicted model, not a curated record